GGGGCGGUGGCGGAACUGGCAGACGCAGUGGACUUAAAAUCCACCGACCGCGAGGUCUUGUGGGUUCGAGUCCCACCCGCCCUACCA
This 87-nucleotide transfer RNA is filed under the name Anaerolinea thermolimosa. RNAcentral describes it as "tRNA-Leu". It matches the Rfam family "tRNA". From Rfam's summary of the family: Transfer RNA (tRNA) molecules are approximately 80 nucleotides in length. The record is from RNAcentral. Lineage: Bacteria; Bacillati; Chloroflexota; Anaerolineae; Anaerolineales; Anaerolineaceae.